This 361-nucleotide ribosomal RNA is filed under the name uncultured bacterium. RNAcentral describes it as "partial 16S ribosomal RNA". It matches the Rfam family "Bacterial small subunit ribosomal RNA", at positions 338 to 696 of the family's 1533-position model. The record is from RNAcentral.
CCUACGGGUGGCAGCAGUGAGGAAUAUUGGUCAAUGGACGAGGGUCUGAACCAGCCAAGUAGCGUGAAGGAUGACUGCCCUAUGGGUUGUAAACUUCUUUUAUCAAGGAAUAAAACGAGGCACGUGUGCCUUUUUGCAUGUACUUUAUGAAUAAGGAUCGGCUAACUCCGUGCCAGCAGCCGCGGUAAUACGGAGGAUCCGAGCGUUAGCCGGUUUUAUUGGGUUUAAAGGGAGCGUAGAGGGGUUGUUAAGUCAGUUGGGAAAGUUUGCGGCUCAACCGUAAAAGUGCAAUUGAUACUGGCAGUCUUGAGUACAGUUGAGGUAGGCGGAAUUCGUGGUGUAGCGGUGAAAUGCUUAGAUA